This is a long non-coding RNA of Empidonax traillii (willow flycatcher), 476 nucleotides long. RefSeq lists it as uncharacterized. The transcript has 3 exons. The record is from RefSeq and is a predicted model, not a curated record. Lineage: Eukaryota; Metazoa; Chordata; Aves; Passeriformes; Tyrannidae.
GCAGAAAAUGGAAAGUAAUGGUGUAAGGACUGAAGGCUUUCAAUCAUGUAAGUGGAAGGAGUAAAGAGAGUCCGUGUUCAAAGUGAAAGCAGCACCUUAGCGCAGCAAAAGCCCCACAGCCUGGCAGGAUUGGGCAUUAUGGAAUGCAAUAGCCAAGGGAAUGAGUUGGAAGAGGCAAAAGCUGCCCAGUAUUUGCACCCACCAUGUAUGACCUUGGUCCUUCAGGGGCAAGGCAGUGUGAAGGGAGAAUGAACACACAUGAGGCAGCAAAGACAAGGCAUGGGAUCAAGCCGUAAGGAACUGAAGUGUUCACUGCCACACUGUGCUGGUAACAAACCCUGAGUCCUGCCAACCCAGAUGGGCAGAAAUCGUGAGCUGGGUUCUCACCAAGCACAGCAUCAGCUCUAAAACAUGAGUUUUCAGGGAGAAAAAAAACCCCAACAAGCCAAACCAACAGAACCAACUCAUAUCUUUUU